Molecule: long non-coding RNA, 168 nt
Filed under: Penaeus japonicus
Lineage: Eukaryota; Metazoa; Arthropoda; Malacostraca; Decapoda; Penaeidae
Description: uncharacterized LOC122255003
Source: RNAcentral
CGAGCUUCCAUACCGGUAACAGUGCCAGAGCCACUCGCCCCGCGCGCGUGUUUCAGUGUCGCACGCGUGUAGUCCGACCGUCGCUCCUCAGCACCUAAAUCCAUAUUUCUUUAUCAAAUGGUAUUUCAAAAAAUCUAAAAAAAAAAAAAAAAAAAAAAAUCUCACCCA